AAGGCUUUAGCUUAAUUAAAGUGUCUGUUUUGCAUGCAGGAGAUGUGAGAUAACGGCUCGCAAGUCUUA
Molecule: transfer RNA, 69 nt
Filed under: Torquigener brevipinnis (yellow-stripe toadfish)
Lineage: Eukaryota; Metazoa; Chordata; Actinopteri; Tetraodontiformes; Tetraodontidae
Description: tRNA-Ala
Rfam family: tRNA
About the family: Transfer RNA (tRNA) molecules are approximately 80 nucleotides in length. Their secondary structure includes four short double-helical elements and three loops (D, anti-codon, and T loops).
Source: RNAcentral